RNAcentral lists this ribosomal RNA (517 nucleotides) under Curvularia hawaiiensis. RNAcentral's name for it is "eukaryotic LSU rRNA". The stretch from base 138 to 291 matches the Rfam family "5.8S ribosomal RNA". Lineage: Eukaryota; Fungi; Ascomycota; Dothideomycetes; Pleosporales; Pleosporaceae. The record is from RNAcentral.
CGGCUGGACUAUUUAUUACCCUUGUCUUUUGCGCACUUGUUGUUUCCUGGGCGGGUUCGCUCGCCACCAGGACCACAAUAUAAACCUUUUUUAUGCAGUUGCAAUCAGCGUCAGUAUAACAAAUGUAAAUCAUUUACAACUUUCAACAACGGAUCUCUUGGUUCUGGCAUCGAUGAAGAACGCAGCGAAAUGCGAUACGUAGUGUGAAUUGCAGAAUUCAGUGAAUCAUCGAAUCUUUGAACGCACAUUGCGCCCUUUGGUAUUCCAAAGGGCAUGCCUGUUCGAGCGUCAUUUGUACCCUCAAGCUUUGCUUGGUGUUGGGCGUUUUUGUCCCCCCCAAAAGGGGGACUCGCCUUAAAAGGAUUGGCAGCCGGCCUACUGGUUUCGCAGCGCAGCACAUUUUUGCGCUUGCAAUCAGCAAAAGAGGACGGCAAUCCAUCAAGACUCCUUCUCACGUUUGACCUCGGAUCAGGUAGGGAUACCCGCUGAACUUAAGCAUAUCAAUAAGCCGGAAGAA